UUGGGGAAACGGCCGCUGAGUG
This 22-nucleotide microRNA is filed under the name Homo sapiens (human). RNAcentral's name for it is "hsa-miR-2110". Lineage: Eukaryota; Metazoa; Chordata; Mammalia; Primates; Hominidae. The record is from miRBase by way of RNAcentral.